RNAcentral lists this long non-coding RNA (1192 nucleotides) under Numida meleagris (helmeted guineafowl). RNAcentral's name for it is "lncRNA (ENSNMEG00000019777.1)". The record is from RNAcentral. Lineage: Eukaryota; Metazoa; Chordata; Aves; Galliformes; Numididae.
CAGAUACAGUCAAUUUUUUAUGUAUGUUGAAGCAGUUGGACUUUCCUACAUGUAAGACUCUGAACUCUUUCCCUAAUUUCUUAUUAGGGAAAAUUAUUAUUAUUUCCCUUAUUCUUAUAAGACCAAUGCAAGCCUGUAAAAACUCCACUAUUUUACCGAUAUCUUAAGAUAAGUGAAUGAGCUUUAUUACUAGCAUUAAGCAUGAAAUCUAGAAAAGAAGAAAUACAGAGGUACAUUUGUUGCUAGGCAAUUUAUCUCACCGAAUGCAUAUUUCCUCUUUCUUGAGGUUUAAAUCUGAGUACAUACUAACUUAGGCCCAAUCUUUUUCUACUCUCUUUGAAGCAUUUCACAUUAGGUGUACAGUUGCUCCUCUUCCAGCCUUUGAGACCGCAUCUAAAUGAUGAAGCCACCAGUGGGUUGUGGCAUGUCCUACGUACUGAUCCAGGAGCAUGUUGGCUGGGAACAAGGUUGUUACUCUGUGCUGGUAGACCAAAUUUUGUUCCUGUGGAAAUUAAAGCAUGGGAAGGCAGCUUGGUGGGGGGGAAGGGGGCAUGGCUUGGAAACAGGGAAGAAGAUAUUCAUUUCCUAAUAUCACUAUGGACCUAAAGACAGAUACCAGUUGCUGUUCUGUUGAGAUGGUAACCUGUGAAAAAGGUUGUGGAGGUACUUCACUAUGCUUUUUCAUGUAGGUACUUUCAGUUAAGUGCUCACAGAUAGGGGGAAUUUCUCUGGGUCUUUGGAAUUAUGAAGGCUCCUACGUGGAAUAUCCUGACAGCUGCCAUGCAAACAAACAACCUUUACAAAUCCAUGCCAGUUUUUUUCUGACACACAACACCUGGCUCCUUUUCUGUAGUGAGAAUGGUUGGACCACUGCAGUGGCACACUGAUUUUUGUGGAUCGUGAAUACAAAAGGGGAUUCAGAAGACACCAUCCGAGUUAUUCUGGCUCAUGACUUGAGUGCUUUCUAUUCUUAGACAAAUGAGGAUCUGAAAUAUGCCCUGUUUUCUGCCUUUGUGGAGCCCUUCUCGCAGUGCCUGUAGCAGCAGUUGGGGAAUCAUCCAUCACUGCAGUCGCAGCUUUGCUCCCGCAAGGCACAGCAUCGAGGAGCUGAUUAGAGCUGGAGGGCCCCAGUCAGGUUUGUGUUGCUGCCAGCUCUUCCUGGGAAUUGCUACUGUGCAGAUUUUACAGAUAC